CGGGCUAGACAACAGAGGACACCCUUAGAAAUAAGGUCUUCCCUUCGGGGACCUCUGGUUCAGGUGCUGCAUGGCUGUCGUCAGCUCGUGUCGUGAGAUGUUGGGUUAAGUCCCGCAACGAGCGCAACCCUUGCCUCUAGUUGCCAUCAUUUAGUUGGGCACUCUAGAGGGACUGCCCGUGUCAAACGGGAGGAAGGUGGGGAUGACGUUCGUCUGACC
RNAcentral lists this unclassified non-coding RNA (219 nucleotides) under uncultured Desulfarculaceae bacterium. Its description in RNAcentral is "contains 16S-23S intergenic spacer region". It matches the Rfam family "Bacterial small subunit ribosomal RNA", at positions 976 to 1194 of the family's 1533-position model. Lineage: Bacteria; Pseudomonadati; Thermodesulfobacteriota; Desulfarculia; Desulfarculales; Desulfarculaceae. The record is from RNAcentral.